AGAUUUACUCAUGUUGUUGCGUAAAAUUAACAUCAAUUUUGAAGUAGUAAGUAUAAAAAUCAAUAUUUUCUCAUUCAAUUCAAUAUUCCGAUUCUUCUCUAGUAGGUCUAGUUAGGUUUGUUUAAAGGUGCACUCGCGUUUGUAGAACGUAUAGAAAAUAGAUAGAAAGCGUCGCUUCUGUUCGAUUUUGUCUGCCGUUGUCGUUUUCUCGCUUUUCCGAGCGCUGAGCACGCGCUAUGCACUUACUCUAAAUACCUACCUACACUAGCAGCCAACUAAACUAGCACAUGUCUCUCAACCACAACCAAAUCGAGUUAGUCGCACUCGAUCACUAUCAUGAACCACCUCUACCUCUCUAGCACAAUACUCUCUUCUUCAAUCAUGUGAAAAAUUUAUAAAACCUUUAAAAACAUAAAAAACGACCGCGAAAACUACGAAAAAUAUUAAUACAAUGUUAUUGUCAUUUUAUGACUAAUAUUUCGAUAAGACAUGCUAUACUCAUGCAGAUACGUAUGUGUGGCGACUGGUACAUCAGCGCACAAUUACGCGACGUGCGCGGAAGGGACGCUCGCCGGCGUGUUACGUGACUUGAGCACGCUGGUGGUGUUUCUGUUGAUUGUGCGAAUCGCCAGCGACGCCAUCGAUAACAUUCAAUAAGCGAAUAAUUAACAGCAAUCCAACUAUAUAGAAAAUAGUAUUAGACAAUGUUAGAAACAAUCAGUAUUAGAUGUUUUAGUAUUAUUUAACUACCUGCUUAAUAAAAUAUUUGAAUAAAUAUGUAAUAUUUAAGUAUUACAGUUUAUUUGAAAACA
Molecule: long non-coding RNA, 812 nt
Organism: Dalotia coriaria
Lineage: Eukaryota; Metazoa; Arthropoda; Insecta; Coleoptera; Staphylinidae
Exons: 2
Source: RefSeq, a predicted model, not a curated record